GUAUUUUAACCGAUGCGAAGGUAGCAUAGUCAUUAGUCUCUUAAUUGGGGGCUUGUAUGAACGGUUAGACAAGAAGCAAACUGUCUCAAAAAUAAAGUUUGAAAUUGACUUUUAAGUGAAAAGGCUUAAAUAUUUUAAAGGGACGAUAAGACCCUAUAAAGCUUAAUAAUUUUGCGCGUAGGCAAAUAAGUUGUUAGUAUAAUGUUAUCUAAGCAUUAAAUUAUUUCGUUGGGGCGACGGUGACAUAAUUUGUAACUGUUUAAAAAUAUUAAUCAAAAAUGUUUGUGUUUAUUGAUCCAUUAAUUGUGAUUAAAAAUUUAAGUUACUUUAGGGAUAACAGCGUUAUUUAUUUUGAGAGUUCAUAUCGACAAAAAAGUUUGCGACCUCGAUGUUGAAUUAAAAAUUUGCCAUGGCGUAGGAGUUGUGGUGGAGGGUCUGUUCGACCUUUAAAUUUUUACAUGAUUUGAGUUCAAACCGGCGUGAGCCA
This 487-nucleotide ribosomal RNA is filed under the name Nephropides caribaeus. RNAcentral describes it as "partial small subunit ribosomal RNA". It matches the Rfam family "Bacterial large subunit ribosomal RNA", at positions 1936 to 2628 of the family's 2925-position model. The record is from RNAcentral. Lineage: Eukaryota; Metazoa; Arthropoda; Malacostraca; Decapoda; Nephropidae.